This is a non-coding RNA of Delphinapterus leucas (beluga whale), 6895 nucleotides long. The record is from RefSeq and is a predicted model, not a curated record. NCBI's taxonomy places the organism in Eukaryota, Metazoa, Chordata, Mammalia, Artiodactyla, Monodontidae.
UCGGGGAACUAAGAUCCCUCAAGCCACGUGGCUCAGCCAAAAAAAAAGAUCAUGAACAUUUUCUCAAGCCAUAAGUAUUCCUGUGCAAUCGCAUUUUAAGGAUCAUACUGUAAUCCACCACAUGGUUUAAAUGAGUUAAUACCAAUAAAGCCCUUGAAACAAUGAGUGGUAAGCACUUAGUAUAUCUUAACAAUUAUUAUAAUAUGGAUAUGUGUAUAAACUAUAUGAAUAAUUUAAUCAGCCCUUUAUUAUUGGACUUGAGGGUUGUUUUCACUAAUAUAAAUAAUGCUCCAGUGUUCAUCCUUGCAGACAAAUGUGUACUCAUGGUUCUGAUUUCCUCAGGAUGUAUUUAUUCCUAGUUGUAGAAUGGCUGAGUCACAGAAUAUGUAGCUUUUCUGUUUAUCAACACAGAUUCCUUUACCAAUUUACAUUUGCUCUAGGCUGCUAAAAUAUUUUUUUCUCUCCCAAUAAGUCUGGGUUUGAAGCUAGUUUCUCCCCUGAGAUUGAGGGGUGCUAUGACAGAUAAAAACACGACCACCCCAUUUUAUGACAGGAGCUGGAAGGUGAACAAGAGGCUAAACAGGAGCCCACGUAACCAGUAAUGAAGCCGUGAGUAAAGUGCCUGACUCGGCUUCAUCUCAGUUUCUUGACCUGUAAACUGAUUUCAGCAACACCUACAACUCUUAACUUUGAUGAGAGGAUUAAAUGAGAUGACCAAGUCUCUUCCUACGGUGUUGAGCACAUAGGAAGGGCUCACACAUGGCAGCAGUCAUUAGCAGAUAGGGAAGCAAUAGUUAGUAGUGGCUCCACAGCAACAUCGGAGGCACUCGAUAGAUUUAUGAAUGCUAACCUAAGGGGCAUAGACUUGCACUAUAGAGCGUGAGGAUCCAUUAGAGUUUUCGGUACAGGGACCAGCAUGCCUAAGCCAGGGCUGUGGGGACUGGACCCAGCAGGCUGAGGGGUGGACUGGGGCAGUGGCACCUGGAGGCCAGUCCAGAGGUCACUGGAACUGUCCAGCGGGGACUGUUCACAUCAGAGAUUUUUGCCUGAUGCAUAUUAAAAGCAAUUAUUUCCAAUAUUUGUUUUGUGAGCAGGAGAGAUGACAAGCUCUAAAGCCCAGCAUUUCUGUGUUGUUUUUACUUAAAAUCCAUUGGUCAAUUAAGAAUAGUGUGUGCUCUGGCACAACAUGGGAAUGUACUUAAUACCCCUGAACUGUAUACUUAAAAUGGUUAAGAUGGUAAAUUUUAUGUUAUGUACAUUUUACCACAAUUUAAAAUAAUUUAAAAAAAUAGUUUAAAAAAAAAAGGACUCAGUUCAUAGUUAGAACAAGGGUCAGGGCAGCAGGAAAAAAAAUAUGGACAAUAUCUGAUGGGGGUGGCCACAUGUCGCCCUCUUUUGGGACAGUAGCAAAUGAUAAGGAAGAAGGGCCAUGGGCAUGACGGUGGCCUAAUAGUCACAAGUCUUGGAUUUAAAUCAUGGUUCUGAAUUUAAUCUGUGAACUUGAACUGAUCACUGUAACCAUUAUAAGUAAGCUUCAGCAGCCUCCUCUGUAGAAGGGAGAUAACAGGACCAGAUCUCCCUGCUUAAGGGAUGAAGCAGAGAUCAAACCAGACUGAAAUCAAAUAAGUAAUAAGCUCUGAGUUGUCCCCAUUUUGUAAACUUUCAGUUCUACACUCCAGGCAGAUUCAAGAUGCUGCUGAAGUAAGCUCCUGUUAUGAACUUGAAAAUAUUAAGUCGCAGUUCUGAUCCUACCAGUGUCAUGGGAUUUCAUCUCAGGGCUUGGGAUGCUUUAUAUCAAACUGUGGUGGGAGGAGAUGCAGACAUGGAAGGAAACAGCAUCUGUCUGCACAUUCCCUUUUCCCCUCCAACUUCCACGUAUUCAGUAAAGGAAUCUGACUGCUCCAAAAGGUCACACUCUGUCUUGUUCUAUUACAGCAGGUCAUGUCAGAAGUGGCUGUUCCACGCUGCAGUUGAUAAAUUGAUAUUUAAUAGUUUUCCAUGUCUUUUAAGGGUUUUAUAAUGGAAACAAAUAAAUGUAAUAUAUGGAAGUAUAUGUACAAAAAAUAAAUAAAAUAAUAGUGUGUGCCUCUUUUGGAAGUGGAGUUUAAGAAUGUGAGCUCCGUUACUGCUGGGUCUGAUAUCAAUAAUGCUCUGCUUAACUCAUGGCCCAUGGUUUAGAAAUAAGCAUAAAGGAUCCUUGACACAGGACGGAUGGCUCUUGGUUACUUGGCAGCUGGUCAUCCCGUUUACAGACGAUUAUUUUUCGACCCUCCUUCCAUCUUUUCUCAGCCAGUUCUCUCAGUUAACAUAUACAUCAAAGUAGAGGAAGGGAGAAAAGAUGAAAAAUCAUGUCAUGUUACAAGCACUACCUCCAGCGAGGGUUAUAUAAGAUUAGCGGAUUGACAUCAUUGGAUACUAUGUCAAUUAUUUGUAUUGUUCAGAGCCCCCAUUCAGACAGAAAACACUGAGGUAGCUUCAGUCUCCAUCUUGGCAAUCUGGAAGGAUGACGUUUCUCUCAGCAUGCACCAGGGAUGGCUAAUGGUCCAUGUGAACAAGUCAGGAGUUAAUUCUAUUGCAAUAUUAAUGAUUAUGACUUAGUUUUGGUUUGGGCUUGAAUUAAUAAUUCAUUCAUCAUUGCUUGACUGUUUGAAUGUGGCCAAUUCUCCAACUGAGUCCUCGGCUCACACACAAAUGUCUGUUGCAGGGGGUUCCCAGGCCGGCUUCUGCAUUGUCAGUGCUUCCCGGGGGAAUCAAAGACCCCUAGAUCCACACUCUGCCUUCAGAGGCCUGAGUUGGGGCCUUGUUUUGGUGACUGGUUUGGACUUCUGUGACUAAUGGAUUUACUCUUUGGUUCUUCGGGCUCUGUGGAUUUUGGUGACCUCUACAAUGGGAGUUGUGAGAUUUUCUCUGUCAACCUUAGUUCCACAGCUUCCUUACAGACUUAACUGUGUUUCCACCUCCUCCAUUUUUCCCAACACAUGAUGUAUUUAUGAGAAAGCAGAUGUCAUCUCAUUUGUGCCUCACGAAACGCUGCACCAGGCAGCUCCUCAUUGGAAAGAUGUUUAAUUCAUAUAGUAUAACCCAGAUAUCGACUGUGGUCUCAGGACCUCUCGAGAUCUAGAUAAGCUUAAUUCUAACCUUUUCCCAUUGAUUGUAGAAGUCCACAGACUUGGCAAGAUUCCUCUGAACUCCUGACAGUUUUUCAUGAUCAACUUCCCACUAAAUUCGUUUCUUUGCUCAGUUUUGUUCUCCUCUCUGCAGCUUGUGGCUGUUCUCUAUUUCUGCAGUUCCUUCGACCCAAACCAGGGGCCCAGCACUUCCUCCUGUUUUCUCAGUCCCUCUGAUGUGACGAUGAAAGCAAAUGGUUGCAUGUACCAGAACUUUGGCUGCAACUAUUUGAAAUCCAUGUUCGUCCUGAGAAAUUCUCACUUCCUGCAGCACCCGCAGUAGCCCUGUUCCUUCUCUCUGUCUGACUCCUCUUGCUCUUCCCUUUCCUUUCCUGUUCUCUCUUUUUUGUUUUUCCCCUCCUUCUUAGGAACAAAUAACUAACAUUUGCAAUAGCUUCACUAACUUUUUUGGUUUGUUUGUUUUUUACAUGUAUUGUUAGAGUUUCACUUUCUGCCCCCAGAAGCAGCAUUUCUGUGGGGAAGCAGAGCACUGAAGGGAGCCAAACUGCUUGGGUUCCAGUCCCUAUGCUACCUUGUCCUAUACGUAUGACUCUGGGCAAGUCACUUCACUUCUCUGCGCCUCAGUUUCCUGUUCUGUAAAAAGCAAACAAAAAUAUUCAUAGGACUGUAAAGAGGAUUAAAUGAGUUAAUAAUAUAUGUGCCAUCGGUGGAGUAGUGGAUAAACAAAUUGUAGUAUAUCCAUACAGUGGAAUACUAUUCAGCUAUGAAAAAGGAAUGCAGUACUGAUAUCUGCUGUAACUUGAAUGACCCUCAAAAACAUUACACUAAGUGAAAGAAGUCAGACAAAAAUGUUACAUAUCAUAUGAUUCCUUUCCUAAGAUAUAUCCAGAAUAGGUAAAUCCACAGAAACAGAAAACAGAUUAAUGGUUACCAGGGGACAAAGGGAGGGGCAAUGGAGAGUGACUGCUUGAUUGUACAGGAUGUUCUUCUGAGAUGAUGAAAAAGUUUUGAAACUAGAAAGAGGUGAUAGUUGUACAACAUUUGUGAAUGCACUAAAUGCCCCUGAAUUGUACAUUUUAAAAUGGUUAAUCGUAUGCUACAUGAAUCUCACCCUUUAAAAUAAAUAAAUGUAAAGCAUUUUGUGUAUUUCCUGGUAUACAGUAAAUAAUCAAAAUAUUAUUACUACCCAUCACCCCCUCUACCCAGCAUAGAAGAUUAUUAAUCUCAGCUGUUUUCAAAAUAAGAGAAAAAAAUCAUUAAAUAGCAAGCAGUAUGAGGGAGUCUCAGGCCCCAGGGAGAGAAUUUUCCUGAGGCAUUCCCACUAUACGACUGCUAAGAUAGUAACAUUUCAUCUCGUUGCAAGGAGAACAAAUGGGAACCUGGGUCAUGCAGUAAAAUUAGUAGUUCUUGGAGAGUCUUUCGUCUCAUUAAUGUGGCUCCAGGAAUUGGAAGUUGGAAAACUAUUCCACUGUUUAAAUAUCUCUGGCAUCCACAACCUUACUUCCAUCCUUGUUUAGUGUCUUAGCCACACAGGCUUGCUCUACCAUGCUGCCUCCCCCAAAUCAGGCUCAUUAGAGCUUCGUCCCCCAAAUCAGGCUCAUUAGAAAGACUGGACUCUGUCACGGGGAGGUCUUCAGACAUCACCAAAAUCUCAUCGAGGCCCUUCUGUGGGGACUGCAUCUUGUUCAAGAUGCUCAGACCAGCCAGUCAUGUGCCCCAGCUGAAUGCAACUGCAGCCUUUCUAAUUGCUGUUGCUAAAUAUAUAGGAUGCCCUGUAUGAUGCAAGUAGCACAUCUUCAUCACCACGGUGACCGGGCAACUUCUGUCUCCAAACACGUUCCUUUGCAGCAUAUGUCUACCAGGUACUGAAGGGAGCCAGUGAAGCUGUGAGUCUGGCAAAGGACGGUCUCAUCCCCUAGUCUCUGGUUCUUAGAUCUGAGUGGUCUGUGCUCUACUCUUUGACUGUAUGAGGCAAUUUUGAGAGACCCUCUUUGUCAACACCAAACUCACGAAUUUCCAUCACCUAAAACUGGUUCAGGAAAAAAGCACCCAAGAGAAGGAGGCUCUAAAGGUGACAGCUGGGAAUCUGGGGUAAGUCAGAGGAUGCAGGAUUCACCGGGUCAUCCAGAAGGUGCAGACUCAGUGUUGACAGAACCAAUUCCAGAAGCAUCCACCGGAAUCCCUUUUUUGGGAGAUUCUCUUCAAGGAUGGAGCUAAAAAAUAUAGGUGCCUCAAGAGAGCCUCUUGCUUCUAAGGAUAUUGUAAGGUAAGCCAUUUCCCCUCCGUUUCCCAUUUGGGGCAGGGACAGACAGAAAGCCAGUGGGUAUGGGAAGCUGGCAGGGGCUGUCCCACUUGCAACAACCACAGCUUGCUCUCUCAGGACUUCGGGACUCUUGCAUCCCUCCAGGACUACCAAGGCAGUACGCUGAUUUUCACUUGAGUGCCUCUGGGCCUCUUUUUAACACGACCACUUUUUAUUAACACCACUCCCCGCCGGCCCUUCUCGGGUACCAGUCAGUGCUGCUCUCAGCUCACAGUGGAGAUUCACUGCCUCAACCUGACACCCAGGAGUAUGGAACUGCCUUCAGAGUUUCCAAGUUGCUGACUAGGAAACCCAGCUCACAAAUUGGAGCCGUUUUCCUCAGGUCACCCCUUGGGUCCCACAACUCACAGAGCCAGGGAUUUGACGAGCCUUUUUCUUGUGACUUAGAACAGCAUUCUUCAACUCUUCCUGAGGCAUUGGGGCUACCUGUGAUGAUGGGGCACAGGGCGUCCCCUAUGCAAUUCAAGUGCAGACUCCCAAUUUUAUCUGUUUUACAGGUUAAAAAAUCCACGUGAGAUUUCCUUUGAAGAAAAGUUUCAGAGGCCAAAGAGAUGAGGAAAAUCACUUCUUUGGACAUAACGAUCUUUUAAAAAAACAGGGGCCCAGGAAUCAAGGACCUGGACUCCAGGCAGCAGCCAAGUGCGUGAGACUCCCUGGAAACAGAUCCCUUGGAGCCGUCAGGGACUGUAGCCUCAUGAGAGACCCUGAGCUGGACCACUCAGCUAAGUAAGGUGCUGUGGGUUUAUGACCCUCAGAAAUCCUGUGAUGUAAUAUGUUUUUGUAGUUUUAAGCCGCUAAAUUUUGGGGUAACUAAUUGCACAGCAGUAGGUAACUGAUACACUCUCUAAUCCUCCCCUCCACUGGCCUGAGCUCUGCCGGCCUCCCUAGUCCCAUCCCGCCCCGCUCUCUCUCCCUCUCCCCCUCCUCUCUCCACGCUCCAGCCACAUUGAUGUUUUGGUGUCUCUUCCCUCAAGACUCCAUUCCUGGGACGCUCUGCCACCCCCACCUCCCCAGGCCAAUCUCACCCUCAGUUAAUCUCACUUGUCCUGCUGGUUGGCUCCAAUGUUGGGUCUCCAAGGAAGACCCUUGAUGAUUAGGGUAGGUUGCCCAGAUAUGCCCUCCUUUGAUUCAAAUUACCCAUCAUAAUUGCAACGUAUUGUCAUGCUUGUUUAACAUGUCUCCCCCUAUGAGGAUGGAAGCUCCCUGAGGGUGGGACUGUGUCUGUCUUGUUCACCCCUGUAUCCCCAGUGGCAUGAGGCCUGGGAUCCUGUGUGUGUGAUGAAUAGAUGGAGAGAUGCAUGAAUUUCCUCUCAAGAAAGAGUGUAUGGAGGAAGGUUUGGGAACAGAGCAUUUCCUGGAGGUCUCCAAGAAAUUGUCCUACUUCUGAACAGAAGGGGACAUGGGUUCGAGCCCUGGUCUGGGAAGAUCCCACAUGCUGCAGAGC